RNAcentral lists this ribosomal RNA (497 nucleotides) under uncultured bacterium. RNAcentral's name for it is "partial 16S ribosomal RNA". It matches the Rfam family "Bacterial small subunit ribosomal RNA", at positions 28 to 507 of the family's 1533-position model. The record is from RNAcentral.
GACGAACGCUGGCGGCGUGCCUAAUACAUGCAAGUUGAGCGCUGAAGGUUGGUACUUGUACCAACUGGAUGAGCAGCGAACGGGUGAGUAACGCGUGGGGAAUCUGCCUUUGAGCGGGGGACAACAUUUGGAAACGAAUGCUAAUACCGCAUAAAAACUUUAAACACAAGUUUUAAGUUUGAAAGAUGCAAUUGCAUCACUCAAAGAUGAUCCCGCGUUGUAUUAGCUAGUUGGUGAGGUAAAGGCUCACCAAGGCGAGGAUACAUAGCCGACCUGAGAGGGUGCUCGGCCACGUUGGGACUGAGACACGGCCCAAACUCCUACGGGAGGCAGCAGUAGGGAAUCUUCGGCAAUGGACGAAAUGCUGACCGAGCAACGCCGCGUGAGUGAAGAAGGUUUUCGGAUCGUAAAAAUCUGUUGGUAGAGAAGAACGUUGGUGAGAGUGGAAAGCUCAUCAAGUGACGGUAACUACCCAGAAAGGGACGGCUAACUACGUG